CUACGGGUCGCAGCAGUGGGGAAUAUUGCACAAUGGAGGAAACUCUGAUGCAGCAACGCCGCGUGGAGGAUGACACUUUUCGGAGCGUAAACUCCUUUUAUAUAGGAAGAAGAUGACGGUACUAUAUGAAUAAGCGCCGGCUAACUCCGUGCCAGCAGCCGCGGUAAUACGGAGGGCGCGAGCGUUACUCGGAAUCACUGGGCGUAAAGAGCGUGUAGGCGGAUUAAAAAGUCAGAAGUGAAAUCCUAUAGCUUAACUAUAGAACUGCUUCUGAAACUCUUAAUCUAGAAUAUGGGAGAGGUAGAUGGAAUUUCUGGCGUAGGGGUAAAAUCCGUAGAGAUCAGAAGGAAUACCGAUUGCGAAGGCGAUCUACUAGAACAUUAUUGACGCUGAGACGCGAAAGCGUGGGGAGCAAACAGGAUUAGAUACCCCUGUAGUC
This 439-nucleotide ribosomal RNA is filed under the name uncultured bacterium. RNAcentral's name for it is "partial 16S ribosomal RNA". It matches the Rfam family "Bacterial small subunit ribosomal RNA", at positions 339 to 795 of the family's 1533-position model. The record is from RNAcentral.